Molecule: long non-coding RNA, 3161 nt
Organism: Myotis myotis
Lineage: Eukaryota; Metazoa; Chordata; Mammalia; Chiroptera; Vespertilionidae
Exons: 3
Source: RefSeq, a predicted model, not a curated record
AGGGCGAGGGUACCGUGCUGGCCACCUUGCGCCUGAAGAUUCUCUGACGGGAACCCAGGGAGCUGACGGGGCCCCUCCCUGUCGGGGCGGCUGUGGGCCUGGGAAGGAGCCUGAACCCGAGGCGCUAGGGCAGGGCCUGGAGGCGCCUGAGAAACAAGUCCCGGCUCUGGGGUGACUGGUCCACGGUCCUGGGUGUGGCCAAGGGCAGGAAAGGAAACCCUGGGGGGAAUGAUCUCAUCUUUUGUCUGUGGCCUUGAACGACCCACCUUCUGAACUGGGGCCUGUGGGCACCAGGAGUCCCAGCCCCUCCCCAGGGCGCCUACUGGGGGCCCCUGCUCUAGCAGCCCUGCAGCAGGACGUCCAGCAGACGCGCUGUGGGCCCCCACGCACCCGGAACCGGGACCAACAGCUGGGACGACGGUGGGAGGCCCCUGGCUCUGCCCGUAACCGGCCUGGGGCCUGAAGUCCCAGCUGGAGGACUUCUCGCCUGGGGCUGAUUUUCCGGGUCUUCGCUCCCUGUCUGUGAACGGGGUGCCUUCAGGCUCGCCCCCUCACGGGGUCACUGACGUGGGCUACACAAGGAAGUGCACUGCCCGUGGCGGCUGCUGUCAGCAGCUCCAGAGUCAGGAGAGUCACCACCAACACUACACAGGCUACCAGGACACAGUUGAGACGGGCACUGAGCAAAAAUACCUGCCACACGGCCGCCCUCUUCCCGCAGCACGGCCUCAGCCAGAAACACAAUCUGUCAGGAGGCUGCGGAGCAGAAUGACGAAGAGGGGUCUUCGGGCAUCUGAUCCACUCCCGUCAGAAACCCAGGAUGCGGGGCAAAGGGGGUGCCUGUGAGGGCCUGGAACGCGGAGGUCAGAGGCCGGAAGGAGGCAGGGAGCCCUGCCUGCAGCUCCUCAGCCCGUCACGGAGGCUCAAUGAGGGCGUCGCUGGUCUAAGCACCGCGCAGCCAGCACGAGCUGAGGACGACAACAGUGAUGUUGAUAGAAGGUCUCGGCCACACACUGGGCCACCCCCUCCUUCCUGUCCAAAGGGAGCAGACAGCCCGUGCCCAGCCCCCGAGGCCCCGAGGGCAUCCCCGGACGGGGCUCCUGGAGGAGGUUUCCUCCUCAGUCGGCCCAGCGGAGCCUGCGGAGCCCCCAGCAGUGGCACAAAGCUCACGGCUCAAGAAGCCCGGCGGGAAAUGGGCUCAGCCACAUCUUUCUGGAUCUUUCUACAUCUCUGGGAAUGAAAGGCACAGUCCCGGGCUCUGGGGAACGCAGACUGGGGUUCAGUCCCCAGCGCGGGACGCUGGCCCCAGGAAGGCAGCACUAACCUGGGAACAGAGGGGGAGAGGCCACCAGGGGACGGGUCAGGCGUGUCUGUCCAGGGGCAGGAAGGACGAGGCAUGAAGCCUCCGCCUCCAGCUCAGAGGGGCAGAGGCGCAGGGAAGCCAGGCGCGCCCGCCCACGGGUGCCGUCAGCUGAGUUGCUUUUGUGCACGGAAGACCCUGAACUGUGAGAAGUUGGCUGUCACUGCUCAGCUGACCUGCUCUGCUGACCCAUCCGUGUCUCACCUACCCCCCUUCCUCAUCCCACAAAGUGACAUUCCUGCCCCUUCCUGGGCCUAUGUUAAUCCUUCACACCUCUCUCACCCAGGCCCCGGCUCAGCACUUCCCUGGCUUCCUGUCAACUCCUCCCCCGGCCACAGGCACUGCAGGUCUCCAAGGCGACCCAGCUCCAACUCCACACCCUCUCACCCCAGGCUGAUGGUCCGUGGCCCCUAAAACUGAUGCAGAUUCGCUGCCACCUGAAGGGUGAGCCCAGCACCGCUGCAGGGACCAGUAAAAGGGCCCUGUGAGGUCGCGUUCCAGGGCGGCAGCGCAUGGAGCAGCCAGGCUGAGUUGGGUGCUGAGGCCUCCCUGGCCGCAGCGGCUUGGAGCGCAGGACCGACCGCGGGCACUGAGGCUCCAGCAGAGCCGAGCGGAAGGAGCAGACGUCUGCUGGCCGGGUGUUUGCAAACUGCAAACUGCUAACGAAGUGUCCUCUGAGACGCAGAAGAGUCCGACACUCCGAGGAGACGGGGUUUUAGCAGAAAAACAGGAUGUGUCUCGUUCCCCAACAUCCAAGUGGUUAAACAGCGACCCAAGGAGCUUAGUGGCCCAAAGGGAAGGCGGCACUGACUGCAGUUUGUUCUUAAUCCUCACGCGAGGAUUUGUUCUUAUUUUUGCUUUUUCCUUUUUAGAGGGAGAGGAAGGGAGGAAGAGAAACAUCAGUGUACAUUGGUGUGCGGGACGAUGCUCCAACCAAAUGCACACCAUCACACACUGCCCAACGCUCCAGCCACGGGCAGGCUGACUUCCCUUUUGCUGCUGUUGUUGUUGAUUUCCGAGAGGAAGGGAGAGGGAGAGGGAAACAUCCACGAUGAGAGAACGACGGGUCGCGGCCUCCCGCACGCCCCACACGGACGGACGGACGGACGGAGCCCACAGCCUGGGCCUGUGCCGGCUUCAUUCCUGAAGACAUGCUCUUCCACCGCGUCAGCACCAGCCCAGCCAACCCCGAGCUCGGUGCUCAGGUGGCGCGGCCCUGAGCGGCCACCAGAGGGCAGCGUGUCCCCGUCUCUAUCUCCUGUAGCAGGAGGGCAGCGCCAGGAGGGCAGCGCCAGGAGGCCACUGGGACUGCCAAGGCCGAAACACCAGGAGCAGAUGGCAUGUCCGGCAGGUGGGCCGUGGUCCAUGUGCGGUUCCCCCGGUCGCUCCUGCGGCCGCAGAGAGAUCCUGGGGGGAGGGGCCGCGGGCCGUGACCGCCUCAGCUUUAAAUACUUAGGAGUCUUGGUAAACGCUUGAAAGAAUGGCUCUAGAAUAUUACAGUGAACGCUGGCAAACGUCUGAUGGCUCCUUCGUGUGAGGCAAGGCCACGGGAGUGGCUCUGAAGGGGUGGCUCCAGGUCACUGCUCUGUCAGGCAGCGUCCCACACCCGGUGCUGAACGAGCCCUUUCUGAGGGGGCAGGGCUGGUGCCUGGACGGCAGGGCUGCGGGAUCCGGCUCUUACACGGCAGGGCUGCGGGAUCCGGCUCUUACACGGCAGGGCUGCGGGAUCCGGCUCUCACACGGCAGGGCUGCGGGAUCCGGCUCUUACACGGCAGGGCUGCGGGAUCCGGCUCUUACACUG